UUUACACGUUUAUCCAUAAGGGCCAGUUCAGCUUCGUGUCGCGCUCGAAUUUCCGGUAAACAGAAACUUUUCUUCUUCCUUUUAGAUUCAUGGCGCUGUAGUCGUUUCAAGGAUGUGCAUCUGUACAUGUGGCUACUUCAAGUCCAACUCACGAAGCCUCGUAUCGAUACACUUAAGAACCGUUCAGUGCCGAAGACCAGUAACACGCGUCCAGGACAACUCGAACAUUUCUGCCUGUCACCGUCUGUUCCUGACGCGGAGUAUAAGCUAUGCUUGUUGAACUUUGCUUGUAAAGGUUGGCGUUUUAAGCUACCUUUCGUGGCCUGAUGGUAUACAACAUGUGAUAUUAGAACCAUGAUAACCAGGGGUGACUGCCUGGCAAGUACUAUGUGAAAGGGUGCCGACAAGUCGCGCGAGGAGGGACCCUGCAACAGAAAUCGUCGUCGAGUUCCUAAACUGUCGCUUCCAACUGUUUGUUUCUUUGUUUUUCACUGUAUGUGCGGCGAGGAGUUUCUUGCCAGGCCGAUAGCCCAUAUUCACUUUCGGUCUAACGGAGACCGCUCUGACCAAAUGACAUUGCUGGGCUUUAUUGAAGACCGCUACCUGUAGACUUUGGGCUUUACUAUACUAAUUUUCAAAGAUUAACUGCGUGGCUGGUGUCUUUCAGUAGGUUGCUGGUUCGUUUUAAAAGCAUAAUUGGGCUAAGGUGAAGCCCACUGAUUUCAAUGGUCGUUAAGCGAAUAUGCAUGCUUCGGAACGACCCCGUUUCGACUAAGGGCUACGUACGUGAUUGGAGUGUCUUUAUGGCUGUGUACGUCCCCACGUCUCGCCAUUCAGCGUACGAAGAUUCUUUUUUGCCGGCGAACUCUAUUAGCUGGACAAGGAGCGCAUUCAUGUGAAGAGUGACCGAUAAAGCAAGUUAUAUGUUUAUCUUCUAAGUAUUCUCGAUGAAUAAACAACAACUAGAUUCGAAACAUUUCAGUGCUACGUAACGUGCGGGUAUUGCGGAGACAUGAUAAAUUCAACGUAACAAUCAAAGACGAGUACAGGACCACAAACUGGUUGACUUCUCGCCACAGGAUGUGCUAACAAUUUAGCCUCAAUCUGCUAGGCAUUGAAAACAUCGAACGUCGGUGGGUGUGCUCGAAAACUUUCAGUUGUGACCGCAACGAAAAGUAAGAUCUAAGUCGCUUGCGGAGCUUCGUGUCCUCACAGCUUUACGGGUGUUAACACCGAGUUUGUGGCAGGAAAGCCUUCAGUAGCACUAGCUUUCUUGCUUAAAAAGAGGAAAACACGAAAGAAUGAGGCCGUUCGCAUCAAAUACUUUUAUCGUCCUGUUCAUCGCUGCCGUGUUCAUAAUUAGCUUUAUGGGAGAAACCACAGCCGCCGAUUCGGGGGCUACCUACGGAAAUGAGGCGCCCCGCGAUUUCAACACGAAGCGAAUCAUUGCGUUGCUACGGCGAAGCAGUCGGCAACCAAAUGCUCUUGCUGACAGCUGUCGUCUUUACGGGCAUUCAUGCCUUGGAGGUCACGGCAAACGGUCGUCGCUUAACGGAGCCGAAGAAGCAGAGGACGAACAUGCGGCGUACCGUUUCGAUGAUGAAUGGCUGCGAAACCGCGUUUAAAUAAGAGUGUGUGCUGAGCCGCUGUUCGUACUGAUAAAAAAGGCGCAUCAUGCUAACAACAAUUACUAGGUCUUUUGUUGGCUAAGAAACCCUUUCGCCUACGAUGGAAGCUUGGAGCGGGACCAAGCCCAGGGCAUAUGAGACGACAAAUCACAAAGUAUAGAGCUACGAUGGUCGGGGCAAACAGAAACUGUCUAAGAUGCUUUAGCCUAGCUGUGGAUAUCAGUGUGAGAUCAAAAAAUUACACCAAUGUACAUUAGCUUAUUAAAAAUAACAUGGUACAAACUUACUUACGUGUAAAUGAAACAAAAACCCAUAUAGAGUAUUUAACAAAUAUUCUGAAAUGCAACAUCAGACAGGUAGGUGUUUUCUCCUUUAAAUCGCAUCGAAUUUCGAACCUUUUUUUCCGUACAACUAUUAGCUACUACCGUAUUAAUAGUAAUCUCGUAUUCUAAUGAUUAGCUACCUACAACGUACAAAAUCCGUAAGGGGUAGUCAUGAACUAAGGCAGUUUCCAAUCGAAUCCGGAUAUUUUUUCUAUUUUUUUUAAAAAUCCGGUCGACCCUAUGUCGCAUGAUUUGUUGAAGCUACCGCAUUAUAGCAUGAACAGCCGUACCAAAAAUAAGCGUAAAUAUACCAUAACCUUAAAUAUUUUGCAGCUGGUUGGAGAUAUAUGCAAUAGAUUGUGCUAGUCGUUCAUUUUUUCUAUCUGCGGCCAGAAUGAGACAACUACAUUUAGGGUACCCAGAUAAAUGGAAAAGAGUACCCACUGGCGAUAUUAUGGGUAUCAUGUGCAACGCCAACAAACGAAUAGUUCGCUCGGUAAGCAGCCAUCUGUGGCUCUAUAUAUACUCGUGUAGACGGGAGGCAACCAGGUUUUAUAAACGGCAAUGCUAUGCAACACCCACUGAUAGAUUCUUUGAAGUUCAUAUCACAAUAUUUGUAUCACAUAUUGAAAAUGGUACUUAUACAGUGCCAGUAGCGGCUAUAACAAGAGCGCGUCGAUACGAAAUGCGCGAGUCAAAAGAAGAACUCACAAUUCCCUUCACCGUAAGCGACUUUUACCAGCGAAUAACAACAAAGGACCAAUAGGAAAGCUUUGACAGUUCAGCGAAUUUAGUCAAUCUAAAUAUUCCGAUAGGUUAGAGUGAUGUUAAACGACGACGAGUAUGAUAGCGGUGACGCGAACAAAUUAAGGCGAUAGCGCAGGA
Molecule: long non-coding RNA, 2836 nt
Filed under: Varroa destructor (honeybee mite)
Lineage: Eukaryota; Metazoa; Arthropoda; Arachnida; Mesostigmata; Varroidae
Description: uncharacterized LOC111251153
Source: RNAcentral